Streptomyces coelicolor A3(2) is the source of this 75-nucleotide non-coding RNA. It matches the Rfam family "ASpks TB sRNA". NCBI's taxonomy places the organism in Bacteria, Bacillati, Actinomycetota, Actinomycetes, Kitasatosporales, Streptomycetaceae. The record is from Rfam.
CUUGAGUGAGCCGAGGUACAGGGGCCGGCCCUCCGCCCGGUCCUGGCCGUACGUCGCCAGCAGUGCCUGGGCCUC